CUCGAGGCCAGAUCUAGAGUUUGAUCCUGGCUGAGAACGAACGCUGGCGGCAGGCCUAACACAUGCAAGUCGAGCGAUGAAGCUGCUUCGGCAGUGGAUUAGCGGCGGACGGGUGAGUAACGCGUGGGAACGUGGCCCAAGGUACGGAAUAGCCUCUGGAAACGGAGAGUAAUACCGUAUGUGCCCUUCGGGGGAAAGAUUCAUCGCCUUGGGAUCGGCCCGCGUCGGAUUAGGUAGUUGGUGGGGUAAUGGCCCACCAAGCCGACGAUCCGUAGCUGGUUUGAGAGGAUGAUCAGCCACACUGGGACUGAGACACGGCCCAGACUCCUACGGGAGGCAGCAGUGGGGAAUCUUGGACAAUGGGGGCAACCCCGAUCCAGCCAUGCCGCGUGAGCGAUGAAGGCCCUAGGGUUGUAAAGCUCUUUCACCGGUGACGAUAAUGACGGUAGCCGGAGAAGAAGCCCCGGCUAACUCCGUGCCAGCAGCCGCGGUAAUACGGAGGGGGCUAGCGUUGUUCGGAAUUACUGGGCGUAAA
This 535-nucleotide ribosomal RNA is filed under the name uncultured bacterium. Its description in RNAcentral is "bacterial SSU rRNA". It matches the Rfam family "Bacterial small subunit ribosomal RNA", at positions 1 to 564 of the family's 1533-position model. The record is from RNAcentral.